This is a long non-coding RNA of Myzus persicae (green peach aphid), 422 nucleotides long. RefSeq lists it as uncharacterized. The transcript is spliced from 3 exons. Lineage: Eukaryota; Metazoa; Arthropoda; Insecta; Hemiptera; Aphididae. The record is from RefSeq and is a predicted model, not a curated record.
AACAGCCAACGGCGACCACUUGUUACAUCACGCCACCACGCCGCUCCACAUUUAUCGAAAAUCACCGGUGUAUAAAAUAACGUACCAGUGCUUAGUUUCGGCAUAACGCAAUUUUCGUGCAAAUCUAAUCUUCAUUUUCACUUUACUCCUCAAAAACCAAACCAAAAACCAAAAAUGGGCGCUGAAAAAGUAACCAUGAACAUCGUCGUCGUCGGACAAGUCCAAUCUGCCAAGGCCAUCAAAUCGGUCGCCAAAGCCACCCCAGCCACCAGCCAAUUGAUGAACUGUUAAUUCAUGAAAUCCACAUCAAUCUCAAACUCAAAAAUGCCAUAGCCCGAACAGUACAUAAUUUUAUAAUUUGUUUCUAAUUAUAAUAAUGCGUAUUGACAUUGCAAAAUAAAUCAGUCGUUUCCGUCAAUUAA